Lycium ferocissimum is the source of this 106-nucleotide small nucleolar RNA. NCBI's taxonomy places the organism in Eukaryota, Viridiplantae, Streptophyta, Magnoliopsida, Solanales, Solanaceae. The record is from RefSeq and is a predicted model, not a curated record.
AAACCAUGAUUCGGAGACUUUUGCAAAUAUUCCUUGAAUCUCUCCCAAGCUUCAAAUAGUUGUUCCCCCGGAAGCUGUUUGAAGUCAUAUAUCUUGUCAUGAAUCU